RNAcentral lists this ribosomal RNA (468 nucleotides) under uncultured bacterium. Its description in RNAcentral is "partial 16S ribosomal RNA". It matches the Rfam family "Bacterial small subunit ribosomal RNA", at positions 28 to 507 of the family's 1533-position model. The record is from RNAcentral.
GACGAACGCUGGCGGCGUGCUUAACACAUGCAAGUCGAACGGAAAGGCCCUGCUUUGGUGGGGUGCUCGAGGGGCGAACGGGUGAGUAACACGUGAGUAACCUGCCUUUGACUUUGGGAUAACUUCAGGAAACUGGGGCUAAUACCGGAUAGGAGCUCCUGCUGCAUGGUGGGGGUUGGAAAGUUUCGGCGGUUGGGGAUGGACUCGCGGCUUAUCAGCUUGUUGGUGGGGUAGUGGCUUACCAAGGCUUUGACGGGUAGCCGGCCUGAGAGGGUGACCGGCCACAUUGGGCCUGAGAUACGGCCCAGACUCCUACGGGAGGCAGCAGUGGGGAAUAUUGCACAAUGGGCGGAAGCCUGAUGCAGCAACGCCGCGUGCGGGAUGACGGCCUUCGGGUUGUAAACCGCUUUCGCCUGUGACGAAGCGUGAGUGACGGUAAUGGGUAAAGAAGCACCGGCUAACUACGUG